UACGAAGGGUGCAAGCGUUAAUCGGAAUUACUGGGCGUAAAGCGCGCGUAGGUGGUUCGUUAAGUUAGGAGUGAAAGCCCCGGGCUCAACCUGGGAAUUGCUUCUAAAACUGGCGAGCUAGAGUAUGGUAGAGGGUGGUGGAAUUUCCUGUGUAGCGGUGAAAUGCGUAGAUAUAGGAAGGAACAUCAGUGGCGAAGGCGACCACCUGGACUGAUACUGACACUGAGGUGCGAAAGCGUGGGGAGCAAACAGGAUUAGAUACCCCUGUAGUCCCU
RNAcentral lists this ribosomal RNA (275 nucleotides) under uncultured prokaryote. RNAcentral's name for it is "partial 16S ribosomal RNA". It matches the Rfam family "Bacterial small subunit ribosomal RNA", at positions 524 to 798 of the family's 1533-position model. The record is from RNAcentral.